This is a small nuclear RNA of Schistocerca nitens (vagrant locust), 107 nucleotides long. The record is from RefSeq and is a predicted model, not a curated record. Lineage: Eukaryota; Metazoa; Arthropoda; Insecta; Orthoptera; Acrididae.
GUACUCGCUUCGGCGGUACAUAUACUAAAAUUGGAACGAUACAGAGUAAAUUAUCAUGGACUCUGCGCAAGGAAGACACGUAAAAAAAAGAAAAGAUAAAAAGGAAA